RNAcentral lists this ribosomal RNA (429 nucleotides) under Chloroflexota bacterium. RNAcentral's name for it is "Chloroflexi bacterium partial 16S ribosomal RNA". It matches the Rfam family "Bacterial small subunit ribosomal RNA", at positions 355 to 776 of the family's 1533-position model. Lineage: Bacteria; Bacillati; Chloroflexota. The record is from RNAcentral.
UGGGGAAUAUUGCACAAUGGGCGCAAGCCUGAUGCAGCCAUGCCGCGUGUAUGAAGAAGGCCUUCGGGUUGUAAAGUACUUUCAGCGGGGAGGAAGGGAGUAAAGUUAAUACCUUUGCUCAUUGACGUUACCCGCAGAAGAAGCACCGGCUAACUCCGUGCCAGCAGCCGCGGUAAUACGGAGGGUGCAAGCGUUAAUCGGAAUUACUGGGCGUAAAGCGCACGCAGGCGGUUUGUUAAGUCAGAUGUGAAAUCCCCGGGCUCAACCUGGGAACUGCAUCUGAAACUGGAAAGCUUGAGUCUCGUAGAGGGGGGUAGAAUUCCAGGUGUAGCGGUGAAAUGCGUAGAGAUCUGGAGGAAUACCGGUGGCGAAGGCGGCCCCCUGGACGAAGACUGACGCUCAGGUGCGAAAGCGUGGGGAGCAAACAGG